This 253-nucleotide ribosomal RNA is filed under the name uncultured bacterium. RNAcentral's name for it is "partial 16S ribosomal RNA". It matches the Rfam family "Bacterial small subunit ribosomal RNA", at positions 524 to 776 of the family's 1533-position model. The record is from RNAcentral.
UACGUAGGGGGCAAGCGUUGUCCGGAAUCAUUGGGCGUAAAGCGCGUGUAGGCGGCUCGAUAAGUCUGCUGUGAAAGUCCAAGGCUCAACCUUGGGAUGCCGGUGGAUACUGUCGAGCUCGAGUCCGGAAGAGGAGUGUGGAAUUCCUGGUGUAGCGGUGAAAUGCGCAGAUAUCAGGAGGAACACCGAUUGCGAAGGCAGCUUACUAAGGAGUUACUGACACUGAGGCACGAAAGCGUGGGGAUCAAACAGG